This is a transfer RNA of Lupinus angustifolius (narrow-leaved blue lupine), 72 nucleotides long. It matches the Rfam family "tRNA". Rfam says of the family: Transfer RNA (tRNA) molecules are approximately 80 nucleotides in length. Lineage: Eukaryota; Viridiplantae; Streptophyta; Magnoliopsida; Fabales; Fabaceae. The record is from Rfam.
GGGUCCAUAGCUCAGUAGUAGGGCUUUUGAGUGUAGAUCAAGAGGUUAGUGAUUCAUACUCGCUUCGGCCCU